ACCCAGGUGGCUUAGUCGGUUAAGCAUCUGACUUCAGCUCAGGUACAUGGAUUCAAGUCCCACAAUGGGUU
RNAcentral lists this transfer RNA (71 nucleotides) under Felis catus (domestic cat). It matches the Rfam family "tRNA". Rfam says of the family: Transfer RNA (tRNA) molecules are approximately 80 nucleotides in length. Their secondary structure includes four short double-helical elements and three loops (D, anti-codon, and T loops). The record is from Rfam by way of RNAcentral. RNAcentral also lists the same sequence under 4 other names. Lineage: Eukaryota; Metazoa; Chordata; Mammalia; Carnivora; Felidae.